GACGAACGCUGGCGGCGUGCCUAAUACAUGCAAGUGGGACGCAAGGACACACACUGUGCUUGCACACCGUGUUUUCUUGAGUCGCGAACGGGUGAGUAACGCGUAGGUAACCUGCCUAUUAGCGGGGGAUAACUAUUGGAAACGAUAGCUAAUACCGCAUAAUAUUAAUUAUUGCAUGAUAAUUGAUUGAAAGAUGCAAGCGCAUCACUAGUAGAUGGACCUGCGCUGUAUUAGCUAGUUGGUAAGGUAAGAGCUUACCAAGGCGACGAUACAUAGCCGACCUGAGAGGGUGGUCGGCCACACUGGGACUGAGACACGGCCCAGACUCCUACGGGAGGCAGCAGUAGGGAAUCUUCGGCAAUGGACGAAAGUCUGACCGAGCAACGCCGCGUGAGUGAAGAAGGUUUUCGGAUCGUAAAGCUCUGUUGUAAGUCAAGAACGUGUGUGAGAGUGGAAAGUUCACACAGUGACGGUAGCUUACCAGAAAGGGACGGCUAACUACGUG
RNAcentral lists this ribosomal RNA (505 nucleotides) under uncultured bacterium. RNAcentral describes it as "partial 16S ribosomal RNA". It matches the Rfam family "Bacterial small subunit ribosomal RNA", at positions 28 to 507 of the family's 1533-position model. The record is from RNAcentral.